This 104-nucleotide small nucleolar RNA is filed under the name Nicotiana sylvestris (wood tobacco). RNAcentral's name for it is "Plant small nucleolar RNA R71". It matches the Rfam family "Plant small nucleolar RNA R71". From Rfam's summary of the family: R71 is a member of the C/D box family of snoRNAs containing the C (UGAUGA) and D (CUGA) box motifs. Multiple nearly identical copies of this snoRNA have been identified in Arabidopsis, and it is thought to function as a 2'-O-ribose methylation guide for 18S ribosomal RNA. RNAcentral also lists the same sequence under 1 other name. Lineage: Eukaryota; Viridiplantae; Streptophyta; Magnoliopsida; Solanales; Solanaceae. The record is from Rfam by way of RNAcentral.
AUUAUGAUGAGGACAGUCUCUGGAAACCCUUUGAACCUUUCCCAAGCUGAGUAUAAAGACUCCCUCGAUUUCUAUUUAAAAGCAACUAUCUCAUUUCUGAUCUU